UCCUCCUUCACUGGCCUAAAGUAAUUCUCUUAUAUGAAAAAUAAUUUACUCUUAUGCCUCUACUAUAGUUUCCAACCUUAGAUGAUCUACAAGAGAUGGAAGAUCUAUAUAUAAAUAUCCUCCAUGAUCCAUAGUUUUCUACUAUUCUACUUUCCUAUAGGCCUAUGAUGGUAAAUGCUAGCACUUUGGACAUCUUAUCAGUUAAAAGACC
Molecule: long non-coding RNA, 211 nt
Filed under: Elaeis guineensis (African oil palm)
Lineage: Eukaryota; Viridiplantae; Streptophyta; Magnoliopsida; Arecales; Arecaceae
Description: long non-coding RNA (EGUI_LNC023074)
Source: RNAcentral